Molecule: ribosomal RNA, 499 nt
Filed under: Cardiodactylus variegatus
Lineage: Eukaryota; Metazoa; Arthropoda; Insecta; Orthoptera; Gryllidae
Description: partial large subunit ribosomal RNA
Source: RNAcentral
CUUCUUGAAUUUAAUUGGAAGUCGGGUCUGUCCACUGAGGAUUUAUUUGAAGGGCCGCGGUAUAUUGACCGUGCAAAGGUAGCAUAAUCAUUAGUUUCUUAAUUGGGAACUGGAAUGAAUGGUUUGACGAAAUAAUUAUUGUCUCUAGUAUAAUUAAUUGAAUUUUACUUUUGAGUUAAAAGGCUUAAAUAUUAAUAAGGGACGAUAAGACCCUAUAGAUCUUUAUAAUAAUUUGAUUAUUAUUAGUUUGUGGUUGUUUAUGUUAUAAAUUUUAUUAAUUUUAUUAUUUUGUUGGGGUGAUGUAAGAAUAUAAAAACUUCUUAAUUUUUUAACUUUGAUUAUUGAAUUUUUGAUCCUAUAAUUAUGGAAUCUAGAUUAAGAUACCUUAGGGAUAACAGCGUAAUUUUAUUGGAAAGUUCUUAUUGAUAAUGAAGAUUGCGACCUCGAUGUUGGAUUAGGAAUAUAAGUUGGUGUAGAUGUUAAUAUUAUUGGUCUGUUC